This is a non-coding RNA of Phrynosoma platyrhinos (Desert horned lizard), 71 nucleotides long. The record is from the annotation of a GenBank genome assembly. Lineage: Eukaryota; Metazoa; Chordata; Lepidosauria; Squamata; Phrynosomatidae.
GCCAGUGUGGUAUAGUGGUUUGGGUGUGGACUGUGACUCUAGAGGGCAAGGUUCAAUCCCUGCCUUGGGCA